Molecule: long non-coding RNA, 742 nt
Organism: Mizuhopecten yessoensis (Yesso scallop)
Lineage: Eukaryota; Metazoa; Mollusca; Bivalvia; Pectinida; Pectinidae
Exons: 2
Source: RefSeq, a predicted model, not a curated record
AUUAAACGAUUUAUUGCCAAAAAGACAUCACCAAUUGAAAAUGAUUUGGCAAAACAUGUAUGAUUACAUUGGUACCUGGUUAAGGCAUUGGGUGUGUCACCUCUAACAAAAAGUCAGGUAUAUAGAUGUUUAUACAGACCAGCUUUGACACGUUUGUUAUCACAAAAUGUAACCCCUUUUUCCAGAGGUUGAAUACUUGAAAUAGAUAUUAAUAUUGUUCUAUAUAAUCUAAAAGUUGGCCAUCAUUGAUAAAUAUAAUGCUUCUUUUUUAAAUAUAUUUACAUAUAUAUACAACAAUUACAAAUAAAUAUGUACAAAAAAGAUAGAGACAGGAAACAACACACAUGUUGCCUGCAGAGAGUUCAAUUGUUUUGAAAACAUAGCUAUUUUAAGUGAUUUCUGAUGAUAUUUAACUCAUUCACCCCUGAAAUUUCAUAAUGAACUCCUCCAACCUUUGAAUUUGAAGACUUGUUUUCAGUCCACUGAGUACCGACGUUUGAGAGUUGGCAGUCGUUACACUCGUCAGUCAAUGUACUUUUCUUUCAAACAUUUAUUCAUAUUAGAAAACAAAGAUGUUGUAUCAGGUUGGUGCAAUAAUUUAUGAUUCAACAUAAACUUAAUAACACGAUUUAUGAAAAAUUAACAAUCAACUCUUCAUUUAAAUUCUUCGAAUAGAAUUAUGAUAAAAUAACCUAAAAUCUUCAUUUGGAAAAUCAACAACAAGGCACAAUGUGGAUAAAAA